AAGUCGUAACAAGGUAACCGUAGGUGAACCUGCGGUUGGAUCAUUAUUGAAUCUAUUUUCUUUGGUGUUAAAAACCAAAGAGAAAAAAAAAAGGGUAGACUUUUUAAAGUUUACCUGAUACAUUCAUGUGAACUUGUUUAGGCUUGUAAAAAAGCCAAGGUUUUUGGUGGUUCUCUUUUUAUAAAGAGUCCACCUCUUACUGAAAAAAACAUUUUUAUUUUAAUUUUUUUGAUUUCUUUAUGAAAAACAAAAACAACUUUUGACAACGGAUCUCUAGGCUCUC
Molecule: unclassified non-coding RNA, 283 nt
Filed under: fungal sp.
Lineage: Eukaryota; Fungi
Description: partial internal transcribed spacer region
Rfam family: Eukaryotic small subunit ribosomal RNA (bases 1-46)
Source: RNAcentral